Long non-coding RNA from Apteryx haastii (Great spotted kiwi), 1635 nucleotides. Lineage: Eukaryota; Metazoa; Chordata; Aves; Apterygiformes; Apterygidae. The record is from Ensembl.
NNNNNNNNNNNNNNNNNNNNNNNNNNNNNNNNNNNNNNNNNNCUGGAAGAGACAAAAAUAUGAGCAACCCGCUCUCCCCCCUAUGUGUGGGUAGAGAUAUAGGGGUGCCCGCAUGUAUGCGUGGACGUGGGGCGCGCCCGGCUCCCCCCGACGGUGUGCGCUGCACCUCGAGCCCGCGGGAGCRCCGGGCAGGACGAGCCGCCGCAGCCCGCCGCGCUGGAGGGGCUCUGCGGCUCGGGAGGGGGGGUUGCAGCAUUGCCCCCCCUUACSCCCCUCGGUGCGGGCAGCCCCCGAGCUAGCUGCGGCUCGCAGGCAGCAAAGCAGGAGGAACAAGAAAGCGGGGGGGCAGAGGGAGGUCCGUGCGCUCCCCGUCGGGGCGGGAGCUCUCCGGGGCCCGGCUCGGCUCCCGAGCCGCCCCGACGGCGGGCACGGCCGCCCCGCCGCCGGGCGCUGGCUGGCGCCGCGCUGCUGCGAGAGGAGAAAAGCGGAGGGCCGGGCCAGGGGCUGGGCCGGGCUCGGGUUAACGACGGGGAGAGCCCGGAAAAACGGCGGGGGGAUGCGCGGCCCCAGGCCGGCCCCAGCCCGUGCCGCGGGUUCCGCUCGCAGCUCGGCCGACAGGUUUAGCCAGACUUUCCCCCCGGCACCCGCCCCGCGCGGGCCCGCGGAAGGGGACACCGCCGCGGCCCGCCGCACGCGUGUCCCGCCGCACGCGUGUGCCCGGGGAGGAGGCGCGCGCCGGCCGCCGCGUCCCCCUUUGUCUCUCCCGCUGCCCCUCGCCCCUCCUUUGCAGCCGCCUCUCUCUCUCUCUCUCUCUCUCUCGUCCUUUUCUUCUUUCCUGUCUUUCCCUCACUCCUCCUUCGCCUCUUCUCCUCCCCCAGCCCUUCCCUGCUCCCCCAGGGUUUUCCGAGGCUCCCGGCAGCAAUGCGCCCUGCCGGGCCCCGCGACUCCGGCGCGUCUGCGGGACAGCCCCCCCCGCGGCCUUCCUGGCUCCGCCGGGGCGCCCCACGCCGCGGCCUGCCGCAGACCCCCGCGGGGCUGCCCUCGCCCGGCCCGGGCCGGGGUCGGGCCUCUUCCAUCAGCCCAUCGGGGCGGGCGCCGCCGCACCGCCCGCUGCUCCCCUCGCCCGCGGGCCCGGAGGGAUGCGCCGGCAAGGGGCUCGCCUCGGCGGUACCUCCCGGGGGGUCCGCCCCGAGGGGCGCAUCCCGGGCAGCUGCAGCCCCCCUGCCCGGUGCGGAGAGACGGUGCCUCCAGGCGCAGCAGGUCCCGCGGGGCGGCUCGGGGCGGCCGCCGGCCCCGGGCCGAGCGAGGGGGAAGCUCCGCCGCCCCACUGCCGUCUGCUUUCCCUGCGCGCCCGCGCCUGGGGUGCAGCCGGCGGGGCUCGAAAGCGCCCCGGGCAGAGCCCUGCCUCAAAGCCGCGGCGCACGUCUGGGCACUCGCUUUGGCACCAGUGUGUGUGUGUGUGUGUGUGUGCCGGGGUGGGCCAGCAGCGCCGCACCGCGCCACCGGGGGCCGGGAGCGGCGCUGAGGCGGCAGGAGACAGUCGCGGGCUAAAUGUCGCUGGCGCCAGCAGCGGGGGGGGGGCGGCUCGGGGCUGCGCUCAAUGAUUCAUGGCUUCGCCGAGACUGGCAGGGGCGA